RNAcentral lists this ribosomal RNA (466 nucleotides) under uncultured Desulfomicrobium sp. RNAcentral's name for it is "bacterial SSU rRNA". It matches the Rfam family "Bacterial small subunit ribosomal RNA", at positions 338 to 795 of the family's 1533-position model. The record is from RNAcentral. Lineage: Bacteria; Pseudomonadati; Thermodesulfobacteriota; Desulfovibrionia; Desulfovibrionales; Desulfomicrobiaceae.
CCUACGGGGGGCAGCAGUGGGGAAUAUUGCGCAAUGGGCGAAAGCCUGACGCAGCAACGCCGCGUGAGGGAUGAAGGCUUUCGGGUCGUAAACCUCUGUCAGAAGGGAAGAACGGGUGAGGGUCUAACAGGCCUUUAUUUUGACGGUACCUUCAGAGGAAGCACCGGCUAACUCCGUGCCAGCAGCCGCGGUAAUACGGAGGGUGCAAGCGUUAUUCGGAAUUACUGGGCGUAAAGCGCACGUAGGCGGCCUUGUAAGUCAGGGGUGAAAUCCCACGGCUCAACCGUGGAACUGCCCUUGAAACUGCGGGGCUUGAAUCCUGGAGAGGGUGGCGGAAUUCCUGGUGUAGGAGUGAAAUCCGUAGAUAUCAGGAGGAACACCGGUGGCGAAGGCGGCCACCUGGACAGGCAUUGACGCUGAGGUGCGAAAGUGUGGGGAGCAAACAGGAUUAGAUACCCCAGUAGUC